Molecule: long non-coding RNA, 574 nt
Filed under: Varroa destructor (honeybee mite)
Lineage: Eukaryota; Metazoa; Arthropoda; Arachnida; Mesostigmata; Varroidae
Description: uncharacterized LOC111255206, transcript variant X2
Source: RNAcentral
CACCCUUUAAUCCGUGAUUAAUGCGGAUGUCAUUAUGUGCCUGUUCAGUAUAGCCGUCGUGAAUGUACAUGGGGCAAUAGGCUAGAACAGGACAAAAAGCAUAGGAGACGCCAGGAUACUAUAGUCAUAAGCAAACGCGAGUGUAUUUGACAGCUGGACCACAAUAAGCGGCUGGAAGUGAAAGUAUAUCCAGUCAGCAAGCUUCGCGGUACAAACUAAAUGUAUCGCUAAUAAAACGUCGUCUGGUUGCCUCUGAGUAACUAAUUUGCCAUCUUCUCCAAAGUUUGAGCUGCGUAUAGCCCGUGGCGUAUUGAUUGGAACCGAUGGGGCGCCGAGAACUCUCAAGAACCUUCCCCCGCGGACAUCACCUCAAGAUCCUGACGCGCUUUAGCAUUUGGACCCCAUGCACCGCUACUGAGUCAGACACCGUUCGAUAACACGUUGUUGAUCGACGUCAGUCAGCCCUAGUGGGCUAAGUGGUUCUGAUACAUUUCUGUCAGUGGCGUCAAACAAAAGGGAGAUCAAAGGGCUUUAAAAAAAAGUGUCCACAAUAGGUCGGUUGGCCUCGUUAUGA